AUUGAACGCUGGCGGCAGGCCUAACACAUGCAAGUCGAGCGGAUGAGUGGAGCUUGCUCCAUGAUUCAGCGGCGGACGGGUGAGUAAUGCCUAGGAAUCUGCCUGGUAGUGGGGGACAACGUUUCGAAAGGAACGCUAAUACCGCAUACGUCCUACGGGAGAAAGCAGGGGACCUUCGGGCCUUGCGCUAUCAGAUGGGCCUAGGUCGGAUUAGCUAGUAGGUGAGGUAAAGGCUCACCUAGGCGACGAUCCGUAACUGGUCUGAGAGGAUGAUGAGUCACACUGGAACUGAGACACGGUCCAGACUCCUACGGGAGGCAGCAGUGGGGAAUAUUGGACAAUGGGCGAAAGCCUGAUCUAGCCAUGCCGCGUGUGUGAAGAAGGUCUUCGGAUUGUAAAGCACUUUAAGUUGGGAGGAAGGGCAGUAAGUUAAUACCUUGCUGUUUUGACGUUACCAACAGAAUAAGCACCGGCUAACUUCGUGCCAGCCGCCGCCGUAA
Molecule: ribosomal RNA, 500 nt
Filed under: uncultured bacterium
Lineage: Bacteria
Description: partial 16S ribosomal RNA
Rfam family: Bacterial small subunit ribosomal RNA
Source: RNAcentral